UUAACCUCGGGGCUAUUUCUCUUCCCUUCCAGCAGGUUUGAGCAUUAGCACCGAGCUGCACUGGGUCACAAGGGAAUGUUGCUGGGAACCAGACAGGGAAAUGGUGGUUGUUUCAGCCUGAUGUCCUGGCUCUUCCCAGCAAUGCCUUGGAGCAUUAACACGCCUUUUCUCUUCCUCAUGCUGGGUCUUGGCAGCUGCUUUGAGGCUGUUCAGGACAGAACUAGUCCAGGCAGUCCAAGGCUGCUGCUUGCAGAGUCUUCCUGACUAAGCCCAGGGGCGUUUUCUGGGCAGCCUUGGCUCCUGUGCCAGUGUUCUCCUUGGCUUCGUCCACCGCUGGGCAGCUGCAAAGCCUUCCUCCUGGGCAGCACGUAGAGCUGCCUCGUGGCCCAGACAUUUCUAAGAACUCUCAUGCACAGAAAUGAGACAUGAGAAAUGCAUUUCAGGAACUGAGCUGCCGUGUAACUCUUUCCUAGUUACCAUGCCACAGAGCGUGGUGUAAACCCAGGGCUAAGAUCCAGCUGCAAACCACUCCUGGAGCUCAGCAGGGAUAAUGCUGAUCCAAGGAGGGUGACGAAGAGCUUUCCCACAGCAGCUGCCUCCAGUGCUUCCUAGGAGCUGCUGCAGGCACAGCUCACAAGCAAUGCUGGGGGAAAAAACAGAAGGGGAGGGCCAGGACUCUUCUCUGCUGCCUGCAUGUGACAUCUCCUGGUACACUUCCCAAAAACAGAGCAGAUGGAUCAGACUCCUUUUUCCCCUGGUUUCACUGGUGGGAAGUAGAAUCACAACAUGGGCAGCCAGGGACCUAGCAUGGACCUGAGCAGCGUGCCUGGCUGGUGGGAUGGCCUUCUUCCACCUGUGUUACAUCUGCUCUUUCUGUGACGUGGUGGGAGGAAACCAAGGGAAGAGGAAGUUGAGAAGCUGCUAGGCUGAGGAGGUUAUGCAGCACUGGAGGCAUUGGGGUGAUUGCUACGAGGCUCUGGUUUGCAGGAGCAAUAGCAUGUACUUGAUGAUGUGCCUACAUGCAAGGUCUAGCCAAGCUUGUGGGGAGCUGUCUGACAGGGGCUGCCUCGUACUCUGUGCAGCAUUCAGACUCUCAGGUCCUGACCUCAACAAAGGUCCUCACCAAGCUUGGAUUUCCAUGAGGCUAAACUUCAUCUGAACUGGAAAAAGGACCUGAGUUAUCCGAGCCGGCAGCUUGGAUAAUUUGCAGCCCUUGUCAGGACGCAGCACUGCAGAACUAAUGGCACAACUGGAGAAUGCAUGACAGCACCACCUGGUAAAUCUUAGGUUGUUCUUGCUUCAAAAGGGAAGAAAGAGUGCCUGCUUGCAUUAGAUAUAUUUUUUUUCCGUCUUUUCUGCCAUAUUCGAAUCUCAUUAAACACCUGGUAACUAAACAGGUGUUUGCUUACGUAUCGCAGUUCACCCCUCUUUGCAAUAAGCUAUGCACAGCAUUUAGUUCUCUUUCACGUCAGAGCCUGCCCUUUCCAACCCAUAAAUCAUUCUCAAAGCUCUUCUCCUGCACCUCCUCUGUGCCCUGUCAGACCCCCGCCUGGAGGCAGGACCCCCGCAGCAGUUUCCCUGCAGGGAGGCAGGAUGAGCCUUGGUGCAGCGAGCUCCCCACGGCCGGAGGAGCUGGGGGGUCCCUGUCUGAGCCUUGUUACUGUGCUUCAGUGUGCUCCCUGCGUCCUUUAGAGAGCUCCCCU
Anser brachyrhynchus (Pink-footed goose) is the source of this 1703-nucleotide long non-coding RNA. NCBI's taxonomy places the organism in Eukaryota, Metazoa, Chordata, Aves, Anseriformes, Anatidae. The record is from Ensembl.